Molecule: ribosomal RNA, 490 nt
Filed under: uncultured bacterium
Lineage: Bacteria
Description: partial 16S ribosomal RNA
Rfam family: Bacterial small subunit ribosomal RNA
Source: RNAcentral
AAGGAAAGAGGGAGGCAGGCCUAACACAUGCAAGUCGAACGGUAACAGGAAGCAGCUUGCUGCUUCGCUGACGAGUGGCGGACGGGUGAGUAAUGUCUGGGAAGCUGCCUGAUGGAGGGGGAUAACUACUGGAAACGGUAGCUAAUACCGCAUAAUGUCGCAAGACCAAAGAGGGGGACCUUCGGGCCUCUUGCCAUCGGAUGUGCCCAGAUGGGAUUAGCUUGUUGGUGGGGUAACGGCUCACCAAGGCGACGAUCCCUAGCUGGUCUGAGAGGAUGACCAGCCACACUGGGACUGAGACACGGUCCAGACUCCUACGGGAGGCAGCAGUGGGGAAUAUUGCACAAUGGGCGCAAGCCUGAUGCAGCCAUGCCGCGUGUAUGAAGAAGGCCUUCGGGUUGUAAAGUACUUUCAGCGGGGAGGAAGGGAGUAAAGUUAAUACCUUUGCUCAUUAACGUUACCCGCAGAAGAAGCACCGGCUAACUCCGUG